GGAUGCGAUCAUACCAGCACUAAAGCACCGGAUCCCAUCAGAACUUCAAAGUUAAGCGUGCUUGGGCGAGAGUAGUACUAGGAUGGUUGACCUCCUGGGAAGUCCACGUGUUGCAUUCC
Molecule: ribosomal RNA, 119 nt
Filed under: Hordeum vulgare subsp. vulgare (domesticated barley)
Lineage: Eukaryota; Viridiplantae; Streptophyta; Magnoliopsida; Poales; Poaceae
Source: RNAcentral